Long non-coding RNA from Alligator mississippiensis (American alligator), 953 nucleotides. RefSeq lists it as uncharacterized. Lineage: Eukaryota; Metazoa; Chordata; Crocodylia; Alligatoridae. The transcript has 4 exons. The record is from RefSeq and is a predicted model, not a curated record.
CUUUGGGAAGCUCAGGCCUGCCAGGGGAAAGGCCCUGGACCGGUGCCUGACUCUUUUGUGUGUGGGGAAGGGAAUCCAGAGCUGUGGCCGGAAGCAGGCGGAGUGGGGACCCAGAGAUUCACAGUAGGGGAGGAGUAAAGAGCAGCCCAUCCUAUUUCCAUAGGAGGGGAGCAGGGAGUCAAGCCAUACUCCAGCCCCCAUUGUGUGCCCUAUGGGUCAGUCUGAUCCUCUCCACACCUCCUCCCUGCACCACCACACCUGGGGACAGUGCAGGUGGAAGGGCAGGAGGAGAUGCACCCCUGGCUGCUCCCCCUGACCUGGAGGAAGGAGAAAGAGGGACUCCACACCUUGCCCCCACACCUGCAAGAGGGGGAGUGAAGAGCCCCAGACCCACAGGAACACAGGUUGGCAGAGCUUUAAACUAGCUUUAUUGGGGGACAAGGAUGUUGAAGAUAGGGUGAAACCAGGAAGGACAAGCCAUGAACUGAAUGCUGGAAUAGACCAGGAAGCAACGGUGAGCACCUGAAACCUGAGAUCCUGCGCCUGCCUUUGUUUCAAGACCAACACGGCGACCAAGUACAUCCCUGAAACAUGGAAGAUGCCACAUUUUAACUGAUUUUGGAUUUUAAACUUCAUUGCAGAACAACCCGAAAGAUUUCUAACCUCCCUGCUUGCCAUCGGACACCUCCAGGGAAGGAAUCCUACCCGAUCUACACAACAAUGAACAACUCAGAACAACUCACACAAAGACACUCUCAUGGACCCCAAGGGACAGAUUUCCAUCUCCAGCUUCUGUGCAAAAAUGAAGUUUUCCUACCUAUGGGGACUUUUUACCAUCUUUAAUUUUCCCAGAGCCUGAUGAAGGAUGUUUGAGCCCAAAAGCUUGCAGAAAAAGAUUAUUUUGGGGGGCAGUUUCCUAAUUGGUCUAAUAAAAGUUAUCAUUUCUGAACCAA